GACGAACGCUGGCGGCGUGCUUAACACAUGCAAGUCGAACGAAGAGCGAUGGAAGCUUGCUUCUAUCAAUCUUAGUGGCGAACGGGUGAGUAACGCGUAAUCAACCUGCCCUUCAGAGGGGGACAACAGUUGGAAACGACUGCUAAUACCGCAUACGAUCUAAUCUCGGCAUCGAGGAUAGAUGAAAGGUGGCCUCUACAUGUAAGCUAUCACUGAAGGAGGGGAUUGCGUCUGAUUAGCUAGUUGGAGGGGUAACGGCCCACCAAGGCGAUGAUCAGUAGCCGGUCUGAGAGGAUGAACGGCCACAUUGGGACUGAGACACGGCCCAGACUCCUACGGGAGGCAGCAGUGGGGAAUCUUCCGCAAUGGACGAAAGUCUGACGGAGCAACGCCGCGUGAGUGAUGACGGCCUUCGGGUUGUAAAGCUCUGUUAAUCGGGACGAAAGGCCUUCCUGCGAAUAGUGAGAAAGGAAUUGACGGAACCGGAAUAAAA
This 493-nucleotide ribosomal RNA is filed under the name Veillonella parvula. RNAcentral's name for it is "bacterial SSU rRNA". It matches the Rfam family "Bacterial small subunit ribosomal RNA", at positions 28 to 488 of the family's 1533-position model. Lineage: Bacteria; Bacillati; Bacillota; Negativicutes; Veillonellales; Veillonellaceae. The record is from RNAcentral.